RNAcentral lists this microRNA precursor (80 nucleotides) under Scleropages formosus (Asian bonytongue). Its description in RNAcentral is "mir-27 microRNA precursor family". It matches the Rfam family "mir-27 microRNA precursor family". The record is from Rfam by way of RNAcentral. Lineage: Eukaryota; Metazoa; Chordata; Actinopteri; Osteoglossiformes; Osteoglossidae.
UCGAGGCACGGGACUUAGCUAAUUGGCGAACAUUGGUCGGUUGUAGAUAUUGUUCACAGUGGCUAAGUUCAGUGCCUGAA